Molecule: long non-coding RNA, 816 nt
Organism: Triticum aestivum (bread wheat)
Lineage: Eukaryota; Viridiplantae; Streptophyta; Magnoliopsida; Poales; Poaceae
Exons: 2
Source: RefSeq, a predicted model, not a curated record
UAUAACAAAUGAAGUGAUGCAUGACACAAUACAUAUAUAAUACCCACUGUGAAGAUAAUAAUAUAUAGACUAAUAAUAUAUGCAUGUUAUUAAUCUUAAGUUACUCCCACUGUGAGCGAUCCACCGCAUCUGAGGAUCACCCCCAAGCUCCUCCUCGGUUUCCAACUUUCUGGUCCUUACCUGCACGCACCUCGUGGCUGGGACGGCGGUUGGUUUGGAUUCCCGUGUGCCUCGUCGAUCUCCCGGGCCGGUCAAUGGGAGCAGGGACCUAAUAGUAGCUGCAUGAUGCGAGCUCGUCGAACUCGACGGUUUUCCAGCCUGCGAAGUAGUGGAUCUCGUUCCCCUUAGCUCCUGCGCGAUUUUGGGAAUCUUGGGGGUGUUGUCCGUCCCCAAACGCCGAGCCGGAGUGGUCAUUGCUGUCCCCAAGCGAGGCACCCCGACGCAUCGUUUUCAACCUCAAAAGUGGCAGCCCGUCUUCGGCAUUGCAUUCUUCCACCUACAGGUCCAACAUCCGCGUCGAGCAGCCAUGCGUCAUUGCGAUGGGAGAAGUCGGUCUUCAGUCCCUCAUGGAGGCCAUGCAGUUCAUGGUGUAUGUCUACAUCCAGCCCGGUGCUUUGUGGACAGACUUCUCUCGAGGAAGUUUGAGUGCGUCGGUGUUGCAGGAAUUCCUGAGUGAAUCUUGAAGGGGGUCUUUCUUUCCAGUAAAGUAUCUGCACGGAAGAUAGCUCUCUAUGUUAUUUGAUACACCAGAUCUUUUGUGUAUUUAGAUGUUCAUCUGUACUCUAAUCUAGUAGUAAUGAAACAAUAGUUUCUUCU